GCCGGAGGAUGCAAGUGUUAUCCGGAAUCACUGGGCGUAAAGCGUCUGUAGGUGGUCAAAUAAGUCAACUGUUAAAUCUUGAGGCUCAACCUCAAAAUCGCAGUCGAAACUAUUAGACUAGAGUAUAGUAGGGGUAAAGGGAAUUUCCAGUGGAGCGGUGAAAUGCGUAGAGAUUGGAAAGAACACCGAUGGCGAAGGCACUUUACUGGGCUAUUACUAACACUCAGAGACGAAAGCUAGGGUAGCAAAUGGG
This 253-nucleotide ribosomal RNA is filed under the name uncultured bacterium. RNAcentral describes it as "partial 16S ribosomal RNA". It matches the Rfam family "Bacterial small subunit ribosomal RNA", at positions 524 to 776 of the family's 1533-position model. The record is from RNAcentral.